CACACCGACACCACCAGUGAGUCCAGAAAUGACAUCAUCAGAGACUCCACAAGUGGCUACAAUGGAUGGACAUUAUGUAUUUAUGCUAUUACUUGCUGUGACAGUGCUUCUAGCUGCCAUUGGGUUAUUCGCUUUAGGCUGGUAUUGCAAACGACAGCAAACAAACCCGGUGAUCUUGCUCUGCGUUAUGUGCUGUUGUUGCAGACGACGACAGACAAUGACAGCAAACCAAUGGACAUUGAAUGGUGACGUAGAAAGGCAAACUCAUGACCCCGGGGACGAUAUUGAAAUUCACAGGACCACGUUUCUUUCAGCAUCGUAUGUAAAGCUUAGUGAUAUCUUCCCAGCAAAAGAAAUCAAGAUGUACUUCCGACAGUUGAAAAUAGGUACAUUCUGUUACAGUGUCUGUUCAGUAAAGUAUUUUACUUUGUACUCAUUGUAUAAACGUAAUAUUUAUCAUGUCGUUGAAAUCAUGAAAAGAGUGAUUAAUUGUGUAUGUAGCGUUCAUUGAUAAAUCCACAGAGCAUUAACCAUAUAAACAAUUAA
Molecule: long non-coding RNA, 546 nt
Organism: Dreissena polymorpha
Lineage: Eukaryota; Metazoa; Mollusca; Bivalvia; Myida; Dreissenidae
Exons: 3
Source: RefSeq, a predicted model, not a curated record